AUUGAACGCUGGCGGCAUGCUUUACACAUGCAAGUCGAACGGUAACAGGCCGCAGGGUGCUGACGAGUGGCGAACGGGUGAGUAAUGCAUCGGAACGUGCCCAGUCGUGGGGGAUAACGCAGCGAAAGCUGCGCUAAUACCGCAUACGAUCUAUGGAUGAAAGCGGGGGACCGUAAGGCCUCGCGCGAUUGGAGCGGCCGAUGUCAGAUUAGGUAGUUGGUGGGGUAAAGGCCUACCAAGCCGACGAUCUGUAGCUGGUCUGAGAGGACGACCAGCCACCCUGGGAGUGAGACACGGCCAAGACUCCUACGGGAGGCAGCAGUGGGGAAUUUUGGACAAUGGGCGCAAGCCUGAUCCAGCAAUGCCGCGUGCAGGAAGAAGGCCUUCGGGUUGUAAACUGCUUUUGUACGGAACGAAACGGUCCUGGUUAAUACCUGGGGCUAAUGACGGUACCGUAAGAAUAAGCACCGGCUAACUACGUGCCAGCCGCCGCCGUAA
This 498-nucleotide ribosomal RNA is filed under the name uncultured bacterium. RNAcentral describes it as "partial 16S ribosomal RNA". It matches the Rfam family "Bacterial small subunit ribosomal RNA", at positions 29 to 523 of the family's 1533-position model. The record is from RNAcentral.